AUUGAACGCUGGCGGCAUGCCUUACACAUGCAAGUCGAACGGCAGCACGGGUGCUUGCACCUGGUGGCGAGUGGCGAACGGGUGAGUAAUACAUCGGAACAUGUCCUGUAGUGGGGGAUAGCCCGGCGAAAGCCGGAUUAAUACCGCAUACGAUCCACGGAUGAAAGCGGGGGACCUUCGGGCCUCGCGCUAUAGGGUUGGCCGAUGGCUGAUUAGCUAGUUGGUGGGGUAAAGGCCUACCAAGGCGACGAUCAGUAGCUGGUCUGAGAGGACGACCAGCCACACUGGGACUGAGACACGGCCCAGACUCCUACGGGAGGCAGCAGUGUGGAAUUUUGGACAAUGGGCGAAGGCCUGAUCCAGCAAUGCCGCGUGUGUGAAGAAGGCCUUCGGGUUGUAAAGCACUUUUGUCCGGAAAGAAAUCCUUGACUCUAAUACAGUCGGGGGAUGACGGUACCGGAAGAAUAAGCACCGGCUAACUACGUG
Molecule: ribosomal RNA, 486 nt
Filed under: uncultured bacterium
Lineage: Bacteria
Description: partial 16S ribosomal RNA
Rfam family: Bacterial small subunit ribosomal RNA
Source: RNAcentral